GAUGAACGCUGGCGGCGUGCCUAAUACAUGCAAGUCGAGCGAACAGAUAAGGAGCUUGCUCCUUUGACGUUAGCGGCGGACGGGUGAGUAACACGUGGGUAACCUACCUAUAAGACUGGAAUAACUCCGGGAAACCGGGGCUAAUGCCGGAUAACAUUUAGAACCGCAGGGUUCUAAAGUGAAAGAUGGUUUUGCUAUCACUUAUAGAUGGACCCGCGCCGUAUUAGCUAGUUGGUAAGGUAACGGCUUACCAAGGCAACGAUACGUAGCCGACCUGAGAGGGUGAUCGGCCACACUGGAACUGAGACACGGUCCAGACUCCUACGGGAGGCAGCAGUAGGGAAUCUUCCGCAAUGGGCGAAAGCCUGACGGAGCAACGCCGCGUGAGUGAUGAAGGUCUUCGGAUCGUAAAACUCUGUUAUUAGGGAAGAACAAAUGUGUAAGUAACUGUGCACGUCUUGACGGUACCUAAUCAGAAAGCCACGGCUAACUACGUG
RNAcentral lists this ribosomal RNA (497 nucleotides) under uncultured bacterium. Its description in RNAcentral is "partial 16S ribosomal RNA". It matches the Rfam family "Bacterial small subunit ribosomal RNA", at positions 28 to 507 of the family's 1533-position model. The record is from RNAcentral.